Molecule: ribosomal RNA, 416 nt
Filed under: uncultured bacterium
Lineage: Bacteria
Description: partial 16S ribosomal RNA
Rfam family: Bacterial small subunit ribosomal RNA
Source: RNAcentral
UGGGGAAUAUUGCACAAUGGGCGCAAGCCUGAUGCAGCCAUGCCGCGUGUGUGAAGAAGGCCUUCGGGUUGUAAAGCACUUUCAGCGAGGAGGAAGGCAGUCGUGUUAAUAGCACGAUUGAUUGACGUUACUCGCAGAAGAAGCACCGGCUAACUCCGUGCCAGCAGCCGCGGUAAUACGGAGGGUGCAAGCGUUAAUCGGAAUUACUGGGCGUAAAGCGCACGCAGGCGGUUUGUUAAGUCAGAUGUGAAAUCCCCGCGCUUAACGUGGGAACUGCAUUUGAAACUGGCAAGCUAGAGUCUUGUAGAGGGGGGUAGAAUUCCAGGUGUAGCGGUGAAAUGCGUAGAGAUCUGGAGGAAUACCGGUGGCGAAGGCGGCCCCCCUGGACAAAGACUGACGCUCAGGUGCGAAAGCGU